UAGUGAGUUUGAUCCUGGCUCAGAACGAACGCUGGCGGCAUGCUUAACACAUGCAAGUCGAACGAGACCUUCGGGUCUAGUGGCGCACGGGUGCGUAACGCGUGGGAAUCUACCCUUUGCUACGGAAUAACUCAGAGAAAUUUGUGCUAAUACCGUAUAAUGUCGCAAGACCAAAGAUUUAUCGGCAAAGGACGAGCCCGCGUAGGAUUAGCUAGUUGGUGGGGUAAAACGCUCACCAAGGCGACGAUCCAUAGCUGGUUU
Molecule: ribosomal RNA, 261 nt
Filed under: uncultured Sphingomonadales bacterium
Lineage: Bacteria; Pseudomonadati; Pseudomonadota; Alphaproteobacteria; Sphingomonadales
Description: partial 16S ribosomal RNA
Rfam family: Bacterial small subunit ribosomal RNA
Source: RNAcentral